RNAcentral lists this long non-coding RNA (576 nucleotides) under Callithrix jacchus (white-tufted-ear marmoset). RNAcentral's name for it is "lncRNA (ENSCJAG00000077439.1)". The record is from RNAcentral. Lineage: Eukaryota; Metazoa; Chordata; Mammalia; Primates; Cebidae.
AUUUAAAAGUGCAUGGCAACUCCUCCCUCUCUCUCUUCCUCUUAUUUCAGCCAUGUGAAGUGCUGUCUUCCCUUUGCCUUCCACCAUGAUUGUAAGUUUCCUGAGACCUCCCCAGAAGCCAAGCAGAUGCCAGCAUCACACUUCCUGUAUAGCCAGUGGAACUAUGAGGAAAUGGAGGCACAGAAAGACAAAGUAAUUUGUCCAAAGUCACACAUAUGGUAAAUUGCUGACUUGGAAUUCCAAACCAGGUGACCUGAAUUCUAUAUUCUUUUUCUUAGCAUAUAAUAUUCUCUCAAAUAGACUGUAUCAUAAACACAAAGUGAACAUGAACAUUUAAAAUAUGUACUUAAAAAUAUGUGGUAGUAUUCUGUUGAAAGUACUCCAUGAUCAGAGAAAUCAUCUAGAAUAUGUCAUAUUGCUGUUACUUAAGAAUGCUAUGGAAAUAAACAUUGUUUCUAAUUUCCACAUAGAACUCAUGGAUUUCUGAGAACAUAUCCAUAGGAGUUUGCAGAACCCAGUGUAAAAAAAAAAAAAAAGAAAAAGUAAAAAGAAAGAAAACCACUGAAACAAAUUGUC